This 528-nucleotide ribosomal RNA is filed under the name Triticum aestivum (bread wheat). Its description in RNAcentral is "partial small subunit ribosomal RNA". The record is from RNAcentral. Lineage: Eukaryota; Viridiplantae; Streptophyta; Magnoliopsida; Poales; Poaceae.
AUGACGAACUAUAGAGCGUGCAUAAGUACAUCCUCAAACCAAAUCCGUGGGAAACCAACCUACAAAAAAGCAAGGCCAAACGUUAAAUUGGAAGAUCUUCCACAGGAUGUGCUCUGCACAAUUUUAUCAAAGUUGCCUGCUAAAGAGAUUUCAAGGGCCAGCGUUUUGUCAAGAGAUUGGAGAUACGUCCCCGAUAUUUGCUGCUACAAAUUAUGUUUCGCUAGUGCUGCUGGGUGUUGCCGUGAUAGUUUUCCAAGGAAAGAAUACUGCCAAUACAUGCAGAAAUUCAUCAGUGAUGUCAAUGCAGUCGUGAGAAAUUCCCAUGGCAAGGUGGUUGAAGAAUUCAAUGUCAAAUUCGAAUUUGACAUCAUGCUGCUUGCUCAUCUCAAUAAUUGGGUCGAUUUGUUGUGUCAUCACAGACAAAGAACAUUGCUUUCUACUUACGUCCUGUUAACAAGACAGUUUGGGAUGUUGGCCGUUACAUAUUUCCAUUUCACCUCUUGGAUACUCAAAGCAUAUCACGUCUAG